This 549-nucleotide long non-coding RNA is filed under the name Elaeis guineensis (African oil palm). RNAcentral describes it as "long non-coding RNA (EGUI_LNC029492)". Lineage: Eukaryota; Viridiplantae; Streptophyta; Magnoliopsida; Arecales; Arecaceae. The record is from RNAcentral.
GCAUGUGGCUAUUUACCCCAGGGUUAGACUUUUCUUCUGAAAAAUUGCUUGGGAUCGACUACCGACUCAGACACUUCUUAGAGACAGAGACAUGGAGCUUCCGAUUGCUUGUCUGAUCUACAGGCUAGAGGAUGAGUCAACGGAGCAUACCUUACUACGUUGCUCGAGGGUGUGUUUGAAUUGGGGUAUGGUUGAUGGCCAACCCUGGGGGACUGAUAGUUGCCCUUAGCUUUCAUCCUUCCUUGUUGUGGUCCACCAAAGUAUGAUCGAGGGCUUGUCCUAUGGGACUUGGAUGGCGUACAUCACCUAUUAGAUCUGAUUGUCCAGGAAUAGCCUAGUUUUUGAAGCUAAGAUUGUACCUGUGUAGUGGGUGUUGGAGUAAGCAUAUUGUUUAGCUGAGGAGUACUACUGUUUUGAUGCUAUUACCAUAUGCCUUGCCGCUUCGAGUUCCUAGGAUUUUCUUGCUGCAUCUGCAGUAACCCGAAAGAUUCUUUUGAUUUUUUCGAGAGCCUCAACCCUCAAGAUUUGUCAAGAUCAAUUUUGAUGGUA